Molecule: ribosomal RNA, 354 nt
Filed under: Lactobacillus sp. GTH8
Lineage: Bacteria; Bacillati; Bacillota; Bacilli; Lactobacillales; Lactobacillaceae
Description: bacterial SSU rRNA
Rfam family: Bacterial small subunit ribosomal RNA (bases 69-354)
Source: RNAcentral
AAUUNCNNGACUUUCUGGUUGGAUACCGUCACUGCGUGAACAGUUACUCUCACGCACGUUCUUCUCCAACAACAGAGCUUUACGAGCCGAAACCCUUCUUCACUCACGCGGUGUUGCUCCAUCAGGCUUGCGCCCAUUGUGGAAGAUUCCCUACUGCUGCCUCCCGUAGGAGUAGGGGGAAUCUUCCACAAUGGGCGCAAGCCUGAUGGAGCAACACCGCGUGAGUGAAGAAGGGUUUCGGCUCGUAAAGCUCUGUUGUUGGAGAAGAACGUGCGUGAGAGUAACUGUUCACGCANAGACGGUAUCCAACCAGAAAGUCACGGCUAACUACGUGCCAGCAGCCGCGGUAAUACA